CCUACGGGUGGCAGCAGUGGGGAAUAUUGCACAAUGGGGGAAACCCUGAUGCAGCGACGCCGCGUGAGUGAAGAAGUAAUUCGUUACGUAAAGCUUUAUCAGCAGGGAAGAAACACUGACCUUACGGUCAGCAGACGGUACCUGAGUAAGAAGCCCCGGCUAACUACGCGCCAGCAGCCGCGGGAAUACGGAGGGGGCAAGCGUUAUCCGGAUUUACUGGGUGUAAAGGGAGUGCAGAGGGUGCGCCAAGUCUGGAGUGAAAUGCCGCGGCGUAACUGCGGAACUGCUUUGGAAACUGGCGGACUAGAGUGCGGGAGAGGUAAGCGGAAUUCGUAGUGUAGCGGUGAAAUGCGUAGAUAUUAGGAGGAACACCGGUGGCGAAGGCGGCUUACUGGACCGUAACUGACGUUGAGGCUCGAAAGCGUGGGGAGCAAACAGGAUUAGAUACCCGAGUAGUC
RNAcentral lists this ribosomal RNA (458 nucleotides) under uncultured bacterium. RNAcentral's name for it is "partial 16S ribosomal RNA". It matches the Rfam family "Bacterial small subunit ribosomal RNA", at positions 338 to 795 of the family's 1533-position model. The record is from RNAcentral.